UGAGACCCCUCGAUGGCCGCGGCCUCGUCCCCUGGUUCCAGGAAGACGAGGCUGAGGAACUUCCGGGCUCCGCAGAGCACGAUGGCGGAUAACGUCCGCCCAGGGCGACCUGAGAGAUAGCGCAGCAGAGAACAGACCGCCCCGCUCCUUCGGGAGCGGAGCAAGGGUGAAACGGCGGUGCAAGAGACCACCGGGCCGCUGGUAACAGUCGGUCGCAUGGCAAGCCUCAUCGGGAGCAAGGCCAAGCAGAAGGCGCACAUGGGCUGCUCGUCCAUUGCCUUCGGGUAGGCCGCUAGAGCCUGGCAGCAAUGUCAGGUCGAGAUGGAUGGCCAUCCGUGCCGGUUCGCCGGCAUGACAAAACCCGGGGUAUGAGGGGUCUCAUUUU
RNAcentral lists this RNase P RNA (385 nucleotides) under Bifidobacterium choloepi. RNAcentral's name for it is "Bacterial RNase P class A". It matches the Rfam family "Bacterial RNase P class A". Rfam says of the family: Ribonuclease P (RNase P) is a ubiquitous endoribonuclease, found in archaea, bacteria and eukarya as well as chloroplasts and mitochondria. Its best characterised activity is the generation of mature 5'-ends of tRNAs by cleaving the 5'-leader elements of precursor-tRNAs. Cellular RNase Ps are ribonucleoproteins. The record is from Rfam by way of RNAcentral. Lineage: Bacteria; Bacillati; Actinomycetota; Actinomycetes; Bifidobacteriales; Bifidobacteriaceae.